GAGUGUGUCUGGGAAAACGAGAACUGCUAAUUCCUCGCCCCAUGGUUCGAUUCCAUGGCCCACUCG
Molecule: transfer RNA, 66 nt
Filed under: Kaloula kokacii (Catanduanes narrow-mouthed frog)
Lineage: Eukaryota; Metazoa; Chordata; Amphibia; Anura; Microhylidae
Description: tRNA-Ser
Source: RNAcentral